Molecule: ribosomal RNA, 253 nt
Filed under: uncultured bacterium
Lineage: Bacteria
Description: partial 16S ribosomal RNA
Rfam family: Bacterial small subunit ribosomal RNA
Source: RNAcentral
GACGGAAGGUGCAAGCGUUGCUCGGAAUCACUGGGCGUAAAGGGCGCGUAGGCGGCCGAUUAAGUCGGGGGUGAAAGCCUGUGGCUCAACCACAGAAUUGCCUUCGAUACUGAUUGGCUUGAGACCGGAAGAGGUCAGUGGAACUGCGAGUGUAGAGGUGAAAUUCGUAGAUAUUCGCAAGAACACCAGUGGCGAAGGCGGCUGACUGGUCCGGUUCUGACGCUGAGGCGCGAAAGCGUGGGGAGCAAACAGG